UGCAAAGCUCAAAGCACCACAUGAAUGAUUUCAUUAUUAUUAUUAUUUUAGAAGAAGAGGAAAUAAUUCCUGGUUCAGUGUAAGAAUGAGAAGCAUUGAAUAAUAACAUAAGAACUGCAAAAGAAUUUAUGAAGAAAUGGAAGAAAUGAAAGCCCAGAGAAGGUGUGUGUUGGCUGCAAAAGCAAGUGUGAGAUCUGGAGAGAUUGAAUCAAUGAGACUAACAGCAAGAACAGUAACAACAAUUACAAACCUUUUAUUCAAUAUAAACAAACAGUAAGUAAAGAAGUGGAAGCACACAGUCAGCAAUGACUCAUUCGGGCAGCUCUCCAGAUGCCUCCCCAUAAUGAAACACACAGGUAAGUGACAACUUCCUGUGCAGAAAUCAAAUCACACCCAGAUAGCUACUGUUUCUUCUUUUUAAAAAUUAAUUUCUCAUUGAACAAAAAUCUAUUUUCUCUCUCCC
Long non-coding RNA from Phascolarctos cinereus (koala), 463 nucleotides. The record is from Ensembl. Lineage: Eukaryota; Metazoa; Chordata; Mammalia; Diprotodontia; Phascolarctidae.